RNAcentral lists this unclassified non-coding RNA (708 nucleotides) under Hevea brasiliensis (rubber tree). The record is from RNAcentral. Lineage: Eukaryota; Viridiplantae; Streptophyta; Magnoliopsida; Malpighiales; Euphorbiaceae.
UAAAAUUCCAUAAACACACACCCCCUUCACCGAACCUAACCGGUUGCAAAAACAGAACGGACAGAAAAUUGCAGCUGCCCAAACUUUCACCAGUCGUGAACGGCAUCCUCGCUGCUUCUAAAGCUCAAGGUGAGCUUCCUUGCCAUGGGGAUCUUCAAAACACACAUACUCCCAAUUGACCCAUCUCUUCCAUAAUGAAAUCCAAGAAAAUCAAAACAAGAAUGAGACCCACAUAUUUAAGUAAAAUAAAUAAAAUGAGAUAAGUCAGACAAGAGUGGAUUGUGGCCAGGGAGAGCAUCUGGAGCUAUGGUGACUGUUAAACGACCACCUCGAAGGGCGAAAAUCGCAAUGAAAUCAUUUUAUUCCAUCAUCUGCAGUGCUGCUUCUUGGGGAUCUUAGGCAUGCUCAUCAUUUUCAGCCCAGCAUCCAGUGAGCUAUUAAUUUGUUCUCCUUCCCCCAUCAAUUGUCUGCUUUUCCUUUCCCUUCAUCGCCCAACAACAGCAGACUCGCAUCAUCGAAAGAAUGGAAGAAAUGAGUCUUAUUCUUUGUCAUGGUUAUUUUUAUAAGGCUUUCCAUGUGGGUGUCUCAUUUUGAGUUGAUGUCAAGGUCUAUGAGAAAGAUUUGUGAGAUAUAAUUUAGAAAAUUGGAAAGAUGUUUUAGGUUUGGAUUUGGAAGAUUUGAUUAUGCUGAUUAGGCUAUUGCUAAAAU